RNAcentral lists this transfer RNA (89 nucleotides) under Trichosporon asahii var. asahii CBS 8904. Its description in RNAcentral is "tRNA-Lys". It matches the Rfam family "tRNA". Rfam says of the family: Transfer RNA (tRNA) molecules are approximately 80 nucleotides in length. Lineage: Eukaryota; Fungi; Basidiomycota; Tremellomycetes; Trichosporonales; Trichosporonaceae. The record is from RNAcentral.
GCCUCGUUAUAUCAGUCGGUAGAUAGUGUGACUCUUACGCAACAAGCCAAUUGAUCACACAGUCAUGGGUUCGAGCCCCAUACGAGGCU